Molecule: unclassified non-coding RNA, 348 nt
Filed under: soil metagenome
Description: partial contains 5.8S ribosomal RNA, internal transcribed spacer 2, and large subunit ribosomal RNA
Rfam family: 5.8S ribosomal RNA (bases 1-120)
Source: RNAcentral
GAUGAAGAACGUAGCGAAAUGCGAUAAGUAAUGUGAAUUGCAGAAUUCAGUGAAUCAUCGAGUCUUUGAACGCACAUUGCGCCCCCUGGUAUUCCGGGGGGCAUGCCUGUCCGAGCGUCAUUGCCGCCCUCAAGCACGGCUUGUGUGUUGGGCCCCCGCCCCCCGGCUUCGGGGGGCGGGCCCGAAAGGCAGCGGCGGCACCGCGUCCGGUCCUCGAGCGUAUGGGGCUUCGUCACCCGCUCUGUAGGCCCGGCCGGCGCCCGCCGGCGACCCCAAUCAAUCUUUCCAGGUUGACCUCGGAUCAGGUAGGGAUACCCGCUGAACUUAAGCAUGUCAAUAAGCGGAGGA